This 403-nucleotide ribosomal RNA is filed under the name uncultured Acetobacterium sp. RNAcentral's name for it is "partial 16S ribosomal RNA". It matches the Rfam family "Bacterial small subunit ribosomal RNA", at positions 356 to 774 of the family's 1533-position model. The record is from RNAcentral. Lineage: Bacteria; Bacillati; Bacillota; Clostridia; Eubacteriales; Eubacteriaceae.
GGGGAAUAUUGCGCAAUGGGGGGAAACCUUGACCAAGCAAUACGCGGUGGGGGAGGAGGGUUUCCGGAUGUUAAGGCCCUUUGAUUGGGAGGAAAAAAAAAGGGUACCCAGGAAGAAAGUCCCGUCUAACUACUUGCCAGCAGCCGCGGUAAUACGUAGGGGACAAGCGUUGUCCGGAUUUACUGGGCGUAAAGGGCACGCAGGCGGUUUUUUAAGUCAGAUGUGAAAGGUACCGGCUCAACCGGUGACAUGCAUUUGAAACUGAAAGACUUGAGUAUUGGAGAGGCAAGUGGAAUUCCUAGUGUAGCGGUGAAAUGCGUAGAUAUUAGGAGGAACACCGGUGGCGAAGGCGGCUUGCUGGACAAAUACUGACGCUGAGGUGCGAAAGCGUGGGGAGCAAACA